Molecule: ribosomal RNA, 1392 nt
Filed under: Streptococcus salivarius
Lineage: Bacteria; Bacillati; Bacillota; Bacilli; Lactobacillales; Streptococcaceae
Description: bacterial SSU rRNA
Rfam family: Bacterial small subunit ribosomal RNA
Source: RNAcentral
AGAGUUUGAUCCUGGCUCAGGACGAACGCUGGCGGCGUGCCUAAUACAUGCAAGUAGAACGCUGAAGAGAGGAGCUUGCUCUUCUUGGAUGAGUUGCGAACGGGUGAGUAACGCGUAGGUAACCUGCCUUGUAGCGGGGGAUAACUAUUGGAAACGAUAGCUAAUACCGCAUAACAAUGGAUGACACAUGUCAUUUAUUUGAAAGGGGCAAUUGCUCCACUACAAGAUGGACCUGCGUUGUAUUAGCUAGUAGGUGAGGUAACGGCUCACCUAGGCGACGAUACAUAGCCGACCUGAGAGGGUGAUCGGCCACACUGGGACUGAGACACGGCCCAGACUCCUACGGGAGGCAGCAGUAGGGAAUCUUCGGCAAUGGGGGCAACCCUGACCGAGCAACGCCGCGUGAGUGAAGAAGGUUUUCGGAUCGUAAAGCUCUGUUGUAAGUCAAGAACGAGUGUGAGAGUGGAAAGUUCACACUGUGACGGUAGCUUACCAGAAAGGGACGGCUAACUACGUGCCAGCAGCCGCGGUAAUACGUAGGUCCCGAGCGUUGUCCGGAUUUAUUGGGCGUAAAGCGAGCGCAGGCGGUUUGAUAAGUCUGAAGUUAAAGGCUGUGGCUCAACCAUAGUUCGCUUUGGAAACUGUCAAACUUGAGUGCAGAAGGGGAGAGUGGAAUUCCAUGUGUAGCGGUGAAAUGCGUAGAUAUAUGGAGGAACACCGGUGGCGAAAGCGGCUCUCUGGUCUGUAACUGACGCUGAGGCUCGAAAGCGUGGGGAGCGAACAGGAUUAGAUACCCUGGUAGUCCACGCCGUAAACGAUGAGUGCUAGGUGUUGGAUCCUUUCCGGGAUUCAGUGCCGCAGCUAACGCAUUAAGCACUCCGCCUGGGGAGUACGACCGCAAGGUUGAAACUCAAAGGAAUUGACGGGGGCCCGCACAAGCGGUGGAGCAUGUGGUUUAAUUCGAAGCAACGCGAAGAACCUUACCAGGUCUUGACAUCCCGAUGCUAUUUCUAGAGAUAGAAAGUUACUUCGGUACAUCGGUGACAGGUGGUGCAUGGUUGUCGUCAGCUCGUGUCGUGAGAUGUUGGGUUAAGUCCCGCAACGAGCGCAACCCCUAUUGUUAGUUGCCAUCAUUCAGUUGGGCACUCUAGCGAGACUGCCGGUAAUAAACCGGAGGAAGGUGGGGAUGACGUCAAAUCAUCAUGCCCCUUAUGACCUGGGCUACACACGUGCUACAAUGGUUGGUACAACGAGUUGCGAGUCGGUGACGGCAAGCUAAUCUCUUAAAGCCAAUCUCAGUUCGGAUUGUAGGCUGCAACUCGCCUACAUGAAGUCGGAAUCGCUAGUAAUCGCGGAUCAGCACGCCGCGGUGAAUACGUUCCCGGGCCUUGU